This is a transfer RNA of 83 nucleotides. The stretch from base 6 to 68 matches the Rfam family "tRNA", at positions 6 to 65 of the family's 71-position model. From Rfam's summary of the family: Transfer RNA (tRNA) molecules are approximately 80 nucleotides in length. Their secondary structure includes four short double-helical elements and three loops (D, anti-codon, and T loops).
UCGCCCUUAGCUCAGCUGGAUGGAGCACCGGCCUUCUAAGCCGUAGGCCGCACGUUUGAAUCGUAUAGAUGUAGGGCGGGCCG